This 1152-nucleotide ribosomal RNA is filed under the name uncultured bacterium. RNAcentral's name for it is "bacterial SSU rRNA". It matches the Rfam family "Bacterial small subunit ribosomal RNA", at positions 295 to 1496 of the family's 1533-position model. The record is from RNAcentral.
UGACUCUGAUCAACCCACUGGCUUGGCACCGUCCUGUCUCAGCGAGGCACAUGGGAUUGGCCAAUGGCUAACCUGAUUCCACGCCUCUCGUGAGAGUAUAAGCCUCGAGAUGUAACGGCCCUCCGCAGAGGAAGAUAAUGACGGUACCUGCAUAAGAAGUCCGCUAACUCCGUGCAGCAGCCGCGUAUACGAAGGAGCUAGCGUACUCGUAAUCAUUGGGCGUAAAGCGUGCGUAGCGUCUGUAAGUCAGGAGUGACAGCCUGGGGCUCAACCCCAGAAUUGCUCUGAUACUGCAGAACUAGAGUUGCAGAGGGGAUGGCGGAAUUCGUAGUGUAGAGGUGAAAUUCGUAGAUAUUAGGAGGAACACCGGAGGCGAAGGCGGCCAUCUGGCUGGAAACUGACGCUGUUGCACGAAAGCGUGGGGAGCAAACAGGAUUAGAUACCCUGGUAGUCCACGCCCUAGACGAUGAGUGCUAGAUAUCGUGACUUGUUCUCGGUGUCGCAGCUAACGCAUUAAGCACUCCGCCUGGGAAGUACGGCCGCAAGGCUAAAACUCAAACGGAAUUGACGGGGACCCGCACAAGCGGUGGAACAUGUGGUUUAAUUCGAUGCUACGCGAAAAACCUUACCAGGUCUUGACAUAAUGGUCAUAUGAUUGUGAAAGCAGUCAGUCGGUUCGGCCGGACCAUUACAGGUGUUGCAUGGCUGUCGUCAGCUCGUGUCGUGAGAUGUUGGGUUAAGUCCCGCAACGAGCGCAACCCUCAUCCUUAGUUACCAGCGAGUAAUGUCGGGCACUCUAAGGAAACUGCCAGUGAUAAACUGGAGGAAGGUGGGGAUGAUGUCAAGUCAGCAUGGCCCUUACGACCUGGGCUACACACGUGUUACAAUGGCGGUGACAGAGGGAAGCAAUAGGGUGACCUGGAGCAAACCCCCAAAAGCCGCCUCAGUUCGGAUUGUACCCUGCAACUCGGGUACAUGAAGUCGGAAUCGCUAGUAACCGCAGAUCAGCAUGCUGCGGUGAAUACGUUCCCGGGUCUUGUACACACUGCCCGUCACGCCAUGGGAGUUGAUAUUUCCUGAAGUAGGUGAGCUAACCGCAAGGAGGCAGCCUACCACGGUGAUAUCGAUGACUGGGGUGAAGUCGUAACAAGG